This 572-nucleotide long non-coding RNA is filed under the name Fukomys damarensis (Damara mole-rat). Its description in RNAcentral is "lncRNA (ENSFDAG00000022403.1)". The record is from RNAcentral. Lineage: Eukaryota; Metazoa; Chordata; Mammalia; Rodentia; Bathyergidae.
CACCCCCAGGGCGGCUGCAGAGGCGCCCACGAGGUGGGGACCGCGCACGAGGCCUCACGAGGUGCGUCUUGAGCGGGGGAGAGAAGUGGGGGAGGCACCUCCCCUUCCGGUGGCCAGUCCUCGGGACCCAGGCCACAAGCAGCCAUCUCCUCCUAACGGGGCUUGUGGGAAAACAGACGUGCGACUGCCUGCCUCAUCGGGACUCUGAAACCCACACUUUGUAAAUGUGCCUCUCUUGAACAAAGACUGGUUAAAAUGGCCCGUUAUGGUCCCUUCCCCCCAUGGAAACAACCCUGCAGAGGAUCCUCCCCACUUGCAACACCUCCUUGUGAAGUGGAGCCAGGCGGCUUCCGGCUUCCGGCUUCCUCCGGGGACCACUGCCCAGGCUUCCUGUUGGGUCAGGAAGACAGCGGGAAGCAGAGGCCUCUUUAACAAUGGCUGCAGACUCCAGCGCUUCAAAGGGCCGAACCCUUGCACGUCUAUAGACGCAGCCAGUUGGGCUGCAGCAGCCCUGGUAGAAGUGCAGGUAACCCGCGUCCUGGAGCUCCCACAGCCCCUGUGGCACACUGCGC